This 253-nucleotide ribosomal RNA is filed under the name uncultured bacterium. RNAcentral describes it as "partial 16S ribosomal RNA". It matches the Rfam family "Bacterial small subunit ribosomal RNA", at positions 524 to 776 of the family's 1533-position model. The record is from RNAcentral.
UACGGAGGGUUCAAGCGUUAAUCGGAAUUACUGGGCGUAAAGCGCGCGUAGGCGGUUGGGUAAGUCAGAUGUGAAAGCCCCGGGCUCAACCUGGGAACUGCAUUUGAUACUGCCCGACUUGAGUAUGGUAGAGGGGGGUGGAAUUCCCGGAGUAGCGGUGAAAUGCGUAGAUAUCGGGAGGAACACCAGUGGCGAAGGCGGCCCCCUGGACCUAUACUGACGCUGAGGUGCGAAAGCGUGGGGAGCAAACAGG